This is a long non-coding RNA of Acinonyx jubatus (cheetah), 995 nucleotides long. RefSeq lists it as uncharacterized. The transcript has 3 exons. Lineage: Eukaryota; Metazoa; Chordata; Mammalia; Carnivora; Felidae. The record is from RefSeq and is a predicted model, not a curated record.
UGGGCAUGGAGGUGUGCAUGGUGCGCGUCACGUGCACCGGAGAGACGGUCACCAAAAUGUCACCAGGGGCCACCUCUGAGAUUUGAGGUGAUUUUCACUCAGUUUUUUAAGCUUUUCUGUAUGGCUUCAACUUGCUAAUUUAACUGAGAAUUGCAUCAGAUACAUACUGCUAUAGUAAUGCUGCCCAUGGGACAAUGGUUGGCCAGGUGACUCUGCUGGCCUUGGCUGGGCUCUUUCAUGUCUGGGCAUGGCUGGCUGUUGGCCGAUCUAGACUGGUCGUGGCUUGACAGAUGAAGCAACUCUACUCCACAUUAUCUCUUAUCCUGUGCGUGGGCCCAGCCUUGAGGCAUCCUCGUGGCAAGGGCAGAAAUACAAAUAAAUCCAAUCUUGGAAGCAAACCACGCUUCCGCACCCCCCCCCCCAUCACAUCUGCUAACAUCCUAUUGGCCAGAACGAGUCACAUGGUGGAGCUUGGAGUCCAAGUCAGAGGCACCGAUGCAGUAAGCUGGUUUCACGCAAGAUGGCUGCCAGGGCUCCAGCCCCACAUCCUCCAGGUGGCACAGGCUAAGCUGUCUCCUGUGGCCAGAGAAUGUCCUUGGGUCGAGUCACUGGUGCUUGCAUCCAGAAGCUGGACUGCUAAGUGCUAGGGGUUAGGGGCGGGGCAUUGACAGCAUCUACUAUGGUGGGAAAAACAGGUCUCAGGUUAGGACAUUAGUUCAUUUUGGUCUGGGUCCUGCCCUCGAGGCAAGGAAGCCCAUAGGUACAGCCUCUGGAUAGAAUCCCAGAGUGGUUAAAGGCACGGGCUGUGGAGUAGGGCAGGUACAGGGUAUAGUUCGCUUUCCCCACUCACUAGCUGUGAGACCUGGGGCAAGUUACCCAACCUCUCUGGGCCUCAGUUGAUUACACGGCACUAGGCACAUGGUGAAUUUCCAAGAAAUGAGAGCUACAGGGCUGAGUCCCGUCUGGAGGAGUGACAUUUCCAGAGGCAUCUCUGA